CAUAGUAAAGGGGGUGAUGCUAAUGAUGACAACUUUUCAAACACUAACCUUAAUGAUCGCAUUUGCGGGUUUGAUUGUGUCAAUCAUUUCUUUUAAAAACAAAAAGUAAUCCACCCUUGGAGAUUUUUCCAGCUACUUAGGGUGGAUUACUUACCUAAUAUGCUGAUACCCUUGUGGGACCAACUAUUGCGUUGACCGUAGGUGUUCACAGCACCU
RNAcentral lists this small RNA (216 nucleotides) under Bacillus andreraoultii. Its description in RNAcentral is "BsrG". The record is from RNAcentral. Lineage: Bacteria; Bacillati; Bacillota; Bacilli; Caryophanales; Bacillaceae.